AUGCCAAACGUCCCCGUCACGACCCCGUUAGUCUCUCCCGCCCCCCCAACCGGGGCAGUCCGAUCGCACUCGCUGCAUAUCAGAGGCUCCGCGCGGCGCGCUCCUCCUCGCUCCCGCUCCCCACUCCCGGGAUGUGUCUCCGCCGUACGACGGGCUAUGGCCACCACGACUUCCGGGUUCCGUCAUUUCGUUCUCCCGCCGCCGACCCGCGCCGCCAAACUGAGGCUCUUCUAUAAGCCAGGCAGCAGCCAACCUGCCAACACCUACUGA
Molecule: long non-coding RNA, 270 nt
Organism: Phacochoerus africanus (Common warthog)
Lineage: Eukaryota; Metazoa; Chordata; Mammalia; Artiodactyla; Suidae
Exons: 2
Source: RefSeq, a predicted model, not a curated record